This 231-nucleotide ribosomal RNA is filed under the name uncultured bacterium. Its description in RNAcentral is "partial 16S ribosomal RNA". It matches the Rfam family "Bacterial small subunit ribosomal RNA", at positions 103 to 334 of the family's 1533-position model. The record is from RNAcentral.
CGGGUGAGUAACACGUGGUCAACCUACCGCUUUGUGGGGGAUAACCAGCCGAAAGGUUGGCUAAUACCGCAUACGUCGCGAUCGGCAUCGAUCGUUGAUAAAAGGAGCAAUUCGCAAGGCGACGGGACCGCGUCCCAUUAGCUAGUUGGUGAGGUAAUGGCCCACCAAGGCUCCGAUGGGUAGCUGGUUUGAGAGAGCGACCAGCCACACUGGAACUGAGAAACGGUCCAG